This 423-nucleotide ribosomal RNA is filed under the name uncultured bacterium. RNAcentral describes it as "partial 16S ribosomal RNA". It matches the Rfam family "Bacterial small subunit ribosomal RNA", at positions 202 to 622 of the family's 1533-position model. The record is from RNAcentral.
UAAGDCUAGCGUUGAUGGAGCGGCCGAUAUCUGAUUAGCUAGUUGGUGGGGUAAGAKCCUACCAAGGCGACGAUCAGUAGCUGGUCUGAKAGGWCGACCAGCCACACUGGAACUGAGACACGGUCCAGACUCCUACGGGAGGCAGCAGUGGGGAAUUUUGGACAAUGGGGGCAACCCUGAUCCAGCCAUUCCGCGUGAGUCAAGAAGGCYUUCGGGUUGUAAAGCUCUUUCGCAAGGBAAGAHAACUCGAUCUCUAAUAUAGGUUGAGGCUGACGGUACCUUGAUAGGAAGCACCGGCUAACUACGUGCCAGCAGCCGCGGUAAUACGUAGGGUGCGAGCBUUAAUCGGAAUUACUGGGCGUAAAGCGUGCGCAGGCGGUUUUGAAAGUCAGAYGUKAAAUCCCCGGGCUCAACCUGGGAACU